This 465-nucleotide ribosomal RNA is filed under the name Vreelandella stevensii. RNAcentral describes it as "partial 16S ribosomal RNA". It matches the Rfam family "Bacterial small subunit ribosomal RNA", at positions 338 to 795 of the family's 1533-position model. The record is from RNAcentral. Lineage: Bacteria; Pseudomonadati; Pseudomonadota; Gammaproteobacteria; Oceanospirillales; Halomonadaceae.
CCUACGGGUGGCAGCAGUGGGGAAUAUUGGACAAUGGGGGCAACCCUGAUCCAGCCAUGCCGCGUGUGUGAAGAAGGCCCUCGGGUUGUAAAGCACUUUCAGUGAGGAAGAACGCCUGGUGGUUAAUACCCAUCAGGAAAGACAUCACUCACAGAAGAAGCACCGGCUAACUCCGUGCCAGCAGCCGCGGUAAUACGGAGGGUGCGAGCGUUAAUCGGAAUUACUGGGCGUAAAGCGCGCGUAGGUGGCUUGAUAAGCCGGUUGUGAAAGCCCCGGGCUCAACCUGGGAACGGCAUCCUGAACUGUCAAGCUAGAGUGCAGGAGAGGAAGGUAGAAUUCCCGGUGUAGCGGUGAAAUGCGUAGAGAUCGGGAGGAAUACCAGUGGCGAAGGCGGCCUUCUGGACUGACACUGACACUGAGGUGCGAAAGCGUGGGUAGCAAACAGGAUUAGAUACCCUGGUAGUC